RNAcentral lists this long non-coding RNA (208 nucleotides) under Elaeis guineensis (African oil palm). RNAcentral describes it as "long non-coding RNA (EGUI_LNC003124)". Lineage: Eukaryota; Viridiplantae; Streptophyta; Magnoliopsida; Arecales; Arecaceae. The record is from RNAcentral.
AUGGUGCAAUAGAGAAACUAUAUGAUUUGGCAUGCCACCUCAAUCCUAGGGUUUCAUGUUAUAGCUUAUGUAUUGUUGGUGGCAUGAGAUUUCAUACAAGAGAUUUUGAUAUGCAGAGACAGACCCAAAAUAGUGAAAUUCUGACGUUGAGAAUCGAUGGAGAUAAUGAGAUUAAAUAUUAUGGCAUCCUAACGGACAUUAUACAGUA